AUACGGAUGGUGCGAGCGUUAUUCGGAAUCACUGGGCAUAAAGAGCACGUAGGCGGCUGCAUAAGUAAGUGGUGAAAUCCCUCAGCUCAACUGGGGAACUGCCAUUUAUACUGUGCAGCUAGAAUGCGGGAGGGGCAGAUGGAAUUCCAGGUGGAGCGGUGAAAUGCGUAGAUAUCUGGAGGAACGCCGGAGGCGAAAGCGAUCUGCUGGCCCGAAAUUGACGCUGAGGUGCGAAAGCUAGGGGAGCAAACGGGAUUAGAAACCCUAGUAGUCC
Molecule: ribosomal RNA, 274 nt
Filed under: uncultured bacterium
Lineage: Bacteria
Description: partial 16S ribosomal RNA
Rfam family: Bacterial small subunit ribosomal RNA
Source: RNAcentral